Molecule: ribosomal RNA, 326 nt
Filed under: uncultured eukaryote
Lineage: Eukaryota
Description: partial 18S ribosomal RNA
Rfam family: Eukaryotic small subunit ribosomal RNA
Source: RNAcentral
CCCUUAGAUGUUCUGGGCUGCACGCGCGCUACACUGAUGCACUCAACGAGUUUACGACCUUGCCCGAUAGGGUUGGGUAAUCUUUUUAAAAUGCAUCGUGAUGGGGAUAGAUUAUUGCAAUUAUUAAUCUUCAACGAGGAAUUCCUAGUAAGCGCGAGUCAUCAGCUCGUGCUGAUUACGUCCCUGCCCUUUGUACACACCGCCCGUCGCUCCUACCGAUUGAGUGCUCAGGUGAAUAAUUCGGACUGCAGAAAUGUUUGGAUCCCGAACGUUGCAGCGGAAAGUUUAGUGAACCUUAUCACUUAGAGGAAGGAGAAGUCGUAACA